GGUCCGUUAGCUCAGUCGGCAGAGCGUCGUGCUGAUAACGCGAAGGUCGUGGGUUCGAGCCCCAUGCGGACCA
This 73-nucleotide transfer RNA is filed under the name Trichoplax adhaerens. RNAcentral describes it as "tRNA-Ile for anticodon GAU". It matches the Rfam family "tRNA". Rfam says of the family: Transfer RNA (tRNA) molecules are approximately 80 nucleotides in length. Their secondary structure includes four short double-helical elements and three loops (D, anti-codon, and T loops). Lineage: Eukaryota; Metazoa; Placozoa; Uniplacotomia; Trichoplacea; Trichoplacidae. RNAcentral also lists the same sequence under 1 other name. The record is from Rfam by way of RNAcentral.